AUCAAACCACUUUUUUUUUACCUUAUCGAAUACUCAUUAAGAAGGAGAGUACUUCCGGUUCAAGGCUUUGACUUCAUACUCGCUUACACCCACACCCUUAGACCCCUAAAAAAACACUUAUUUUUUUAUCGUUAGAGGGAACAUAAUGUUGAUCUUGAUCUAGUCGACUCUGUUGAUUCAAUAGAUCCGGUCAGUUGAACGGGCGGAGCUAGCAGCACCAAAAGCUAC
RNAcentral lists this long non-coding RNA (228 nucleotides) under Vitis vinifera (wine grape). RNAcentral describes it as "long non-coding RNA (VVIN_LNC005800)". Lineage: Eukaryota; Viridiplantae; Streptophyta; Magnoliopsida; Vitales; Vitaceae. The record is from RNAcentral.